This 497-nucleotide ribosomal RNA is filed under the name uncultured bacterium. RNAcentral describes it as "partial 16S ribosomal RNA". It matches the Rfam family "Bacterial small subunit ribosomal RNA", at positions 28 to 507 of the family's 1533-position model. The record is from RNAcentral.
GAUGAACGCUGGCGGCGUGCCUAAUACAUGCAAGUCGAGCGAACGGACGAGAAGCUUGCUUCUCUGAUGUUAGCGGCGGACGGGUGAGUAACACGUGGAUAACCUACCUAUAAGACUGGGAUAACUUCGGGAAACCGGAGCUAAUACCGGAUAAUAUUUUGUACCGCAUGGUUCAAAAGUGAAAGACGGUCUUGCUGUCACUUAUAGAUGGACCCGCGCUGCAUUAGCUAGUUGGUAAGGUAACGGCUUACCAAGGCAACGAUGCAUAGCCGACCUGAGAGGGUGAUCGGCCACACUGGAACUGAGACACGGUCCAGACUCCUACGGGAGGCAGCAGUAGGGAAUAUUCCGCAAUGGGCGAAAGCCUGACGGAGCAACGCCGCGUGAGUGAUGAAGGUCUUCGGAUCGUAAAACUCUGUUAUUAGGGAAGAACAUAUGUGGAAGUAACUGUGCACAUCUUGACGGUACCUAAUCAGAAAGCAACGGCUAACUACGUG